This 269-nucleotide ribosomal RNA is filed under the name uncultured bacterium. RNAcentral's name for it is "partial 16S ribosomal RNA". It matches the Rfam family "Bacterial small subunit ribosomal RNA", at positions 335 to 600 of the family's 1533-position model. The record is from RNAcentral.
ACUCCUACGGGAGGCAGCAGUGGGAGUAUUGCAUCAAUGGGAACGGACUGNAGCCAUGCCGCGUGUGUGAAGAAGGCCUUCGGGUUGUAAAGCACUUUCAGUAGGGAGGAAGGUAGUGUAGUUAACACCUGCAUUAUUUGACGUUACCUACAGAAGAAGCACCGGCUAACUCCGUGCCAGCAGCCGCGGUAAUACGGAGGGUGCGAGCGUUAAUCGGAAUUACUGGGCGUAAAGCGCAUGCAGGCGGCCUGUUAAGUCAGAUGUGAAAG